RNAcentral lists this ribosomal RNA (370 nucleotides) under uncultured bacterium. RNAcentral describes it as "bacterial SSU rRNA". It matches the Rfam family "Bacterial small subunit ribosomal RNA", at positions 527 to 893 of the family's 1533-position model. The record is from RNAcentral.
GUAGGUGGCGAGCGUUACUUCGGAAUUACUAGGUGUAAAGCGCUUGCAGGUGGUUGGAUAAGUCUGUGGUUAAAUUUCCCGGCUCAACCGGGAACCGUCCAUAGAUACUAUCUGGCUUGAGUGUGGCAGGGGGCAACGGAAAUUCCAGGUGUAGCGGUGAAAUGCGUAGAUAUCUGGAGGAACACCGAUGGCGAAAGCGAGUUGCCUGGGCCAAUACUGACACUGAGGAGCGAAAGCUAGGGGAGCAAACAGGAUUAGAUACCCUGGUAGUCCUAGCUGUAAACGAUGUUCACUAGAUGUGGGAGGUAUUCGACCCCUUCCGCGUCGACGCUAACGCAUUAGUGAACCACCUGGGAGUACGGCCGCAAAG